CACCGCGCAUUCCCCUCCGCCCCCCGGUCUCGGCAGUCAGGUGCCGCCCCGCCUCCGCCGCACUGCCGCCGCCUGCCCCUGCCUCCGCUCCGCCGCGCCACCAAAGCAGAGGACCGCCGGCUCCGACUCCUCGCGCAGCUACUCCGCGCACCACUGCUCCUGCUUGGCCUGCAAGCCUCGCCGAAUCGAAAUAGAAGAUGAAGAGGGCUUUUUCAUCGGUGCCCGCAGUGGGAGUGUCUACACCCUAUAGUUUGAGCUCAGGGGGAUCAGGGAGUGUACUUGCAAGUAUUGACGAAUGACGAUGAUGAUAUUUUAUAUCGUUUUCAGUCCUAUAGGUCCCACAAAGGGGUUUUUACCUCCUGCUGUAGUGGUGUUGCUACUUCUUCUACCUUGAUCAGGUCAUGGGAGACACAUAAGAAGCAAACCAUUAAUUUGGAGGAGAGCACGAAGUUCUUUGAGGAGCUUAAUAUUCACAGGGAUGCUCCCGGCAAGCUCGUUGUGCGAGAGCUCAAGGGCCACCAAGGUCCUCAAAGCCGAGAAGUCAAGAGACUCAAGUGUCCCUCUCAGCCGCAUCCCCGGCAGGGAGAUGGCGGCAAUCACCGGCCAGCGCCCACCACACCGGAUGCCUUGCCAACGGCAAGGUGCUGAGAUGUUUUCCCAGGAUCGCAGGGCGUCUUGGCUUUGCUGACUGAGGCUGGCUUUCCAGGCAAGAAGUGCCCCUGCUUGUUGUUCAAGUGAUGGCAGCGCUCCAGCGGCUGAGACGAGUGCGGUGGUGCACAUCAUCAGUAUGGUGAGAGAGGCAAGUAUUUUGGAAGCCAAGGGCGCCAUGGCAAGGAUAGGAAUUGAUUCUGCUUCUGCGUCUGCUGGAGGGUUCACCUUAAAUCAUUGCACCAAAUAUUGCCGCUGCCUCGUUCCCUGCAGGGAGUAUGACUGAUUAACCACCCCUCCUUUCUGUCCCUCUCGUUCCUUUAUUAAUCUUCAUGAUAAGAUUUGACCCGCUCUCUGAUACAUUUCUCUUUUCUUUUCUUGACAUAGAUUAUGACACCUGUUCUUUCAAAGUCAAAGUUACAGAACCCAAACAUGUACGCACCCAGAAAAGGAAACCAGAAAGAAGGUGCCACAACACAAACACACCCCUAGAGGACCUGGUGCAAAGAAGACCAUCGCCGCCGGAGAAGAGAGGGACAUGACGCUGCUCACCCAGGUUCGGAGGAACACCAUUGCGGACGGCACUACUCCCUCCGUCCCAGAAAGCUUGUCCCAAGCUUGUUUCUUAAAUGGAUGUAUCUAGCACUAACUUGGUGCUAGAUACAUCCAUUUGAUGGACAAGCUUUUUCGGACGGAGGGAGUACUUUUCUGACUCGAUUAAACGGUACACCGCAAGCGGCAGAAUUGGGGCGAUGUGGCUCGGCGGCUGGGUACUUUCCUUGUGUCCACUGUUCUGCCGUCUUGACAGUGGCGAAGCUACAUGUAGUCUGUGAUGUCCAGCGACAUCACAGAAAUGUGCUUAGAAGUUGACCCCGGGUAUGUUUAAGUGUAUAUGUUUACAUACAUGGGCAGUUUUGAGCUGUUCCACUGGCUUCAAUUGCUAGCGCUACCACCGCCGUCUUCACUUGACGCUGGUGAAGAAGAAAAGUGGGCCUGCCUGCUAUGAAGUAACUAUACGCCUGGUACCCUCAGCUUAUGUUGCAUUUUGUGGAAUUUGUCUUCCUAUUUGGCAAAUGGGGGGAGCGGUGGAAGUCAUUAAUGGACAAGUGGUUACUGGUCACGUCGCCCUACUCAUCGAUGAUUAAUCAGAACAUGACGUGCUUCUACGGGCUGCGCGCUGCUUCAAACCCGGCCGUGGCGUGAGGAGGAGGAAGCUGAAUCUUCCCUUCCGCGCUGGCUGUUGGGUAUGGAGCAAGCGUCAUAUUGGGGCUCCCCAGCCUCCAAAUAUGGAGGCUAUUGAGGUCGUUUAUGGAAUGACUCUGCUAUAGUGUCAUUUUGGUUUAAAAUCAUUAUAUUGACAGUUAUUGCGAUCAUGGACAUAUGACGACUCUGCUAAAGUUGCUCUUAGCCAAAUAAGAGAUGAGGAUAGCUCACUUGGGUGAGAUUAUCUAAGUUGACCUCUUCGAGGACACAAAUUAGGAUUCAUAUUUAUACCGUACUCUUGAAAUAGCAUUUACUCUUAUCUAUUACAAGUUUCCUGUUCAUGUCCUAUCGACUGCCAAAAGAAUUGAAUGUUCACCAACCGUCGCUCAUGUGAAUGAUGCUUCCCUUGUAUAUAUAUAUAUAUAUGCCACUCCAUGGACCAUUGUUGUUCUAUUCAAUUUAACACAUUGGUAGCACUAACCUAGUACACUGGAUACUUGGUGAUGAGAUAUCAAAUUGAGCAGACAAUGAGAGGAGAAUUACAUUACAUAGAUGUCACAACAUGUACGUGGGAACGAGAGACAUCCGGAAUAGCCAGGAGAGCAAUAUCUUUAGGUUGGUCAGUGACCAAGGGCGAUGCUUGACCAUUAAGCUAAAUAGUAUCUUUCGCUUUCAACAUUUUACUACCGUUACAGCCUGCCUUUGGAGCUGUGGUUGCACUGUAGCUCCCUCUUAUCCCCUGGCACCGACGGUCAGCUUCAUCGACCGCGAGCCCAUCCGCUUCUCCUUUACGCGAGUGCAUACUUGUGCUCAUGGCGGCUAGCUGGAGCGCUGGCAUCUUGUUCACAAAGGCAGUCCGCACUGCUACGUCUUAUUGCUUGUCAUAGCCACAAGAGGAGAGCACGGAGUUCUUCGAGGAGGUUAAUAUUCACUGUGAUGCUCCCAGGAAGCUCAUCGUGUGAGAGCUCAAGGGCUACCAAGGUCCACAAAGCGGCAAUGUCAAGAGACUCAAGUUUCCUCCUCAGCCGCAUCCCCGGCAGGAAGAUGGUGGUGAUCAUUGGCGCCCCCGCACCGGUCGCCCCGGCAACGGCAAAGUGUUGACAUGUUUCCCUAGGAUCGCAGGGUGUCUUGGCUUUGCAGACUGGGGCUGGCUUUUCAGGGAAGAAGUGGCCCUGCUUGUUGUUCGAGUGAUGGCAGCGCUCGAGCGGCUGAGAAGAGUGCGGUAGUAGACUAGCCACAGUGGGAGUAAUAUCACUAGUAACACCACAAUUUUCAAGAUAAUUUUGCUUAUGUGGCACAUAUUUAAUGAUGAGAGAGAUGAUGGUGAUAACUUAGCUAGUUACUGUAACAUCACACAU
This is a long non-coding RNA of Triticum aestivum (bread wheat), 3209 nucleotides long. RefSeq lists it as uncharacterized. The transcript has 5 exons. Lineage: Eukaryota; Viridiplantae; Streptophyta; Magnoliopsida; Poales; Poaceae. The record is from RefSeq and is a predicted model, not a curated record.